RNAcentral lists this ribosomal RNA (504 nucleotides) under Pangasius macronema. RNAcentral's name for it is "partial 12S ribosomal RNA". It matches the Rfam family "Bacterial small subunit ribosomal RNA", at positions 801 to 1533 of the family's 1533-position model. The record is from RNAcentral. Lineage: Eukaryota; Metazoa; Chordata; Actinopteri; Siluriformes; Pangasiidae.
AACCUAGAUGUAAUAUUACAUAUACAUCCGCCCGGGUACUACGAGCACAGCUUAAAACCCAAAGGACUUGGCGGUGUCUCAGACCCACCUAGAGGAGCCUGUUCUAGAACCGAUAACCCCCGUUAAACCUCACCACUUCUUGUUUUCCCCGCCUAUAUACCGCCGUCGCCAGCUUACCCUGUGAAGGCCUAGCAGUAAGCAAAAUGGGCUCGCCCAAAAACGUCAGGUCGAGGUGUAGCGCACGAAGUGGGAAGAAAUGGGCUACAUUUUCUACAGCAGAAUAUUACGAACGGCACCCUGAAACAAGUGCCCGAAGGUGGAUUUAGUAGUAAAAAGCAAAUAGAGAGUCCUUUUGAAUUAGGCUCUGAGACGCGCACACACCGCCCGUCACUCUCCCCUCAUACAUUAAACUCAAACCCGACAUUCCUAAUCAAACAUUUCCUAGCACGGGGAGGCAAGUCGUAACAUGGUAAGUGUACCGGAAGGUGCACUUGGAAUAAUCAG